Molecule: ribosomal RNA, 165 nt
Filed under: uncultured bacterium
Lineage: Bacteria
Description: partial 16S ribosomal RNA
Rfam family: Bacterial small subunit ribosomal RNA
Source: RNAcentral
UAGGGAAUCUUCCACAAUGGGCGAAAGCCUGAUGGAGCAACGCCGCGUGUGUGAUGAAGGGUUUCGGCUCGUAAAACACUGUUGGUAAGAGAAGAAUGACAUUGAGAGUAACUGUUCAAUGUGUGACGGUAUCUUACCAGAAAGGAACGGCUAAAUACGUGCCAG